CCUACGGGGGGCAGCAGUGAGGAAUAUUGGUCAAUGGGCGGGAGCCUGAACCAGCCAAGUCGCGUGAGGGACGACGGUCCUAUGGAUUGUAAACCUCUUUUGUCGGGGAACAAAGGCGCCCACGGGUGGGCGGAUGAGUGUACCCGAAGAAAAAGCAUCGGCUAACUCCGUGCCAGCAGCCGCGGUAAUACGGAGGAUGCGAGCGUUAUCCGGAUUUAUUGGGUUUAAAGGGUGCGUAGGCGGACAGUCAAGUCAGCGGUAAAAAUGCGGUGCUCAACGCCGUACAGCCGUUGAAACUGGCAGUC
This 305-nucleotide ribosomal RNA is filed under the name uncultured bacterium. Its description in RNAcentral is "bacterial SSU rRNA". It matches the Rfam family "Bacterial small subunit ribosomal RNA", at positions 338 to 641 of the family's 1533-position model. The record is from RNAcentral.